AGAGACACCUUUCCUGGGAAGAGAGCUGACAACCUUCUGUGGUAAGGGGUGAACAUCCUUGGGAAGCCACAGAGAGCAAGGCGCAGUUUUUCAUUGAUCACCACUUUCAAGAUGCUCCCAGAAUCGUGCUGUCUAGGAAGCCAUUUAAACUGGUGAGAAGCCAUCCUCUCUUGAAUGGGGGCUCCCACUGUACAUCUGGCACCCACUUCACAGAUUCUGGGGGAUGUCAACACCAGCACUGCUGAGCUGUGUGACCUUGAGCAAGACAGUUAGCCUCUCUGAACCUCAGUGUCCUUCUCUGUAGGCUGGAGAUUGAUAUACCUUCAUUAUCGGGGUAUGAGAGUGUUAUAAGGUGGGAUGGUGGAACACGCUGACUGGUCUGGGCUAUUCAAGAUCCAUGAACUGGAAGAUGCUUUCUUAUAACUCAGAGAAAAGAGAUGAAAAUGAAUCAAAGAACAGGAAGGAGACAAGCUCAGGAGUGUGAAAACGGAUUAAUACGGAUUCCAUUAGCAGAAGCAGUUUUGGUGGGAAAAAGAUGAAGGGUGAAGAGGACUUUUACCUUAAAACAAUGAAGAGUCACCCUAAGAAGGAUGUGUGGAAGACUUGACUGGAGGAUCAAAAUGUGUCGGGGGAAGGUGUACAAGGAGGAGUAAGGACACAGAUGUCCUGACUUCACACAGUGGGGGAUUAGAAGCCACCAUCAAACACAGAUGAAACAGGAAUAAAAGUAGUAGUACAUUACUUAAGCUUUAAAAGGGUAAGACUCCUGGGAAUUUGGAAGCUGAGACUUGAGGAGCAGAGGCAUUUAGCUGUGUAAACACAGAGCUUCAGUGGCAGCACCCUAAAUGCUUAGCUGAUAGAUCCGGAAUUAAAUACAGACCUAGAAACUGGAGUUGGAAAACUUCCUGGCAGCACUCCUUCCCUGCCAUCCCGGUGAUCCCCUUCUGGAUGGAGGGUGUGGAGCUCAGCACAUUCACGUCUGCAGUUCUCAGAGAACCAAGUGUUAAGGAAUGUCAGGGAAGGAAGAAGGCAGCCAGCCAGGAAGGGGAGGUCCUGGCCUGAGCACGCCAGGCACAGAGGGAUAGAGGGUAGGGAGGAAACUGCACCUGUCUCCAACCCUCGACCCCAGCCCCGAAACACGACAUUGGCUGAAACAGAUUAAAAGCAUAAAAUGGCCCAAAGAAAUGGGAGAAGGUUGGCCUCUGGUCGGGCAAACAUGAGGGCAUGAAGAUAUAUAAUGUCCCACACGGGAGGAAACCCUUGCCGGGCCCCUCAGGAUUUAUAACAAGCUCACCUGAAGGAGAAACUUCAGGGGCACUUACACCAUCAGAUACCUAGAAAGGAGCUGUCAUUUCCUCACUGAAGAGUUUGCAAGCAGAUGGAAAAUGUGUGUCUGGAUCAUCUUGUGGCCCGAAUGGGGAGAAAAGAUGCAGUAUUCCAAAGCAGGAGAUUCACUGAAAAAGAUGUUUAAGAAGUUGCUGAUGAAGAAAAGUUCAGGAUUCACAGCUCCAUACAAAGGGAAUAGCCACUUUUCUCAUUUUGAGAUAUGACUACUAACAAGUAUUAUUCUGCAUCUUC
This is a long non-coding RNA of Homo sapiens (human), 1578 nucleotides long. Ensembl annotates it as long intergenic non-protein coding RNA 1837. Lineage: Eukaryota; Metazoa; Chordata; Mammalia; Primates; Hominidae. The record is from Ensembl.